This 229-nucleotide ribosomal RNA is filed under the name uncultured bacterium. RNAcentral describes it as "partial 16S ribosomal RNA". It matches the Rfam family "Bacterial small subunit ribosomal RNA", at positions 568 to 796 of the family's 1533-position model. The record is from RNAcentral.
CGCGUAGGCGGUCUCUAUAGUCAGAUGUGAAAGCCCGGGGCUUAACCCCGGAAGUGCAUUUGAAACUCAGGGACUUGAGUAUGGGAGAGGGAAGUGGAAUUCCUGGUGUAGCGGUGAAAUGCGUAGAUAUCAGGAGGAACACCAGUGGCGAAGGCGACUUCCUGGACCAAUACUGACGCUGAGGCGCGAAGGCGUGGGGAGCAAACAGGAUUAGAUACCCUGGUAGUCC